UAAAGUGCUGACAGUGCAGGUAGUGAGACUGAAUACCUACUGUACUGGGUGCACUUGGAGC
This 61-nucleotide microRNA precursor is filed under the name Scyliorhinus torazame (cloudy catshark). RNAcentral describes it as "Sto-Mir-17-P1d_pre stem-loop". It matches the Rfam family "mir-17 microRNA precursor family", at positions 11 to 80 of the family's 80-position model. From Rfam's summary of the family: This family represents the microRNA (miRNA) precursor mir-17, family, which includes mir-20, mir-91, and mir-103. miRNAs are transcribed as ~70nt precursors (modelled here) and subsequently processed by the Dicer enzyme to give a ~22nt product. In this case the mature sequence comes from the 3' arm of the precursor. The extents of the hairpin precursors are not generally known and are estimated based on hairpin prediction. Lineage: Eukaryota; Metazoa; Chordata; Chondrichthyes; Carcharhiniformes; Scyliorhinidae. The record is from RNAcentral.